CAGUCGCCACGGGAAAACGGAGGGUGCAAGCGUUAUCCGGAUUUAUUGGGUUUAAAGGGUCCGUAGGCGGAUCUGUAAGUCAGUGGUGAAAUCUCACAGCUUAACUGUGAAACUGCCAUUGAUACUGCAGGUCUUGAGUAAAUUUGAAGUGGCUGGAAUAAGUAGUGUAGCGGUGAAAUGCAUAGAUAUUACUUAGAACACCAAUUGCGAAGGCAGGUCACUAAGAUUUAACUGACGCUGAUGGACGAAAGCGUGGGGAGCGAACAGGAUUAGAGACCCGUGUAGUCCCUGUCUCUUAUAC
This 301-nucleotide ribosomal RNA is filed under the name uncultured bacterium. RNAcentral's name for it is "partial 16S ribosomal RNA". It matches the Rfam family "Bacterial small subunit ribosomal RNA", at positions 509 to 807 of the family's 1533-position model. The record is from RNAcentral.